GCUUGUCUCAAAGAUUAAGCCAUGCAUGUCUAAGUAUAAAUAAUUCUAUACUGUGAAACUGCGAAUGGCUCAUUAUAUCAGUUAUAGUUUAUUUGAUAGUCCCUUACUACUUGGAUAACCGUAGUAACUCUAGAGCUAAUACAUGCGCAAAUUCCCGACUGUCGCGGGGAGGGAUGUAUUUAUUAGUUAAAAAGCCAAUGCGGGUUCUGCCCGGUUUUGUGGUGAAUCAUAGUAACUGUUCGAAUCGCAUGGCUUCACGCCGGCGAUAGUUCAUUCAAAUUUCUGCCCUAUCAGCUUUCGACGGUAGUGUAGUGGACUACCGUGGCGUU
This 329-nucleotide ribosomal RNA is filed under the name uncultured fungus. Its description in RNAcentral is "partial small subunit ribosomal RNA". It matches the Rfam family "Eukaryotic small subunit ribosomal RNA", at positions 30 to 353 of the family's 1831-position model. The record is from RNAcentral. Lineage: Eukaryota; Fungi.